Molecule: ribosomal RNA, 1242 nt
Filed under: metagenome
Description: bacterial LSU rRNA
Rfam family: Bacterial large subunit ribosomal RNA
Source: RNAcentral
UGAAUACGAGAUGCUACGGCGUCGAAGCAGUCUAUGUCAUACUUCCAAGAAAAGCUCGCACUGUCAUAAACAAAUAAUGCCUGUACCAUAACCGACACAGGUGGGUAGGUAGAGUAUACUAAGGGGCGCGAGAUAACUCUCUCUAAGGAACUCGGCAAAAUGACUCCGUAACUUCGGGAGAAGGAGUGCCUUAUUUAUAAGGUUGCAAUAACAAGAUCCAAGCAACUGUUUAUCAAAAACACAGGUCUCCGCUAAGUCGUAAGACGAUGUAUGGGGGCUGACGCCUGCCCAGUGCCAGAAGGUUAAAGAAGUUGGUUAGCAUUCGCGAAGCUGAUAACUGAAGCCCUGGUGAACGGCGGCCGUAACUAUAACGGUCCUAGGUAGCGAAAUUCCUUGUCGGGUAAGUUCCGACCCGCACGAAAGGCGUAAUGAUUUGGAUACUGUCUCGGAGAGGGGCUCGGUGAAAUAGACUUGUCUGUGAAGAUGCGGACUACCUGCACCAGGACAGAAAGACCCUAUGAAGCUUUACUGUAACUUGAGAUUGAAAUUGGACUUUACUUGCGCAGUAUAGGUGGGAGGCGUUGAUAAUAUUCUUGCGGGAUUAUUUGAGCCAUCAGUGAGAUACCACUCUUGUAAUGUUAGAUUUCUAACUUUGUAUCAUUAUCUGGUCAAAGGACAGUUUCAGGCGGGCAGUUUGACUGGGGCGGUCGCCUCCUAAACGGUAACGGAGGCGCACAAAGGUUUCCUCUGAACGGGUAGAAAUCGUAUCUAGAGUGUAAAGGCAUAAGGAAGCUUGACUGUGAGACCUACAAGUCGAGCAGGGACGAAAGUCGGUCUUAGUGAUCUGACGGUGCUGAGUGGAAAGGCCGUCACUCAACGGAUAAAAGUUACUCUAGGAUAACAGGCUGAUCUCCCCCAAGAGUUCACAUCGACGGGGAGGUUUGGCACCUCGAUGUCGGCUCAUCGCAUCCUGGGGCGGUAGUACGUCCCAAGGGUUGGGCUGUUCGCCCAUGAAAGCGGUACGCGAGCUGGGUUCAGAACGUCGUGAGACAGUUCGGUCCAUAUCCGGUGUAGGCGUUAGAAUAUUGAGAGGAGCCUUCUUUAGUACGAGAGGACCGAGAAGGACAUACCUCUGGUGUACCAGUUAUCGUGCCAACGGUAAACGCUGGGUAGCUAUGUAUGGAGUGGAUAACCGCUGAAAGCAUCUAAGUGGGAAGCCCACCUCAAGAUAAGUAUUCUCGU